RNAcentral lists this long non-coding RNA (16321 nucleotides) under Malus domestica (apple). RNAcentral's name for it is "long non-coding RNA (MDOM_LNC011690)". Lineage: Eukaryota; Viridiplantae; Streptophyta; Magnoliopsida; Rosales; Rosaceae. The record is from RNAcentral.
GUACGAGAAGUAGGAGCUUCUGUUUGUUGUGUUGACCCGCGAGCAAACCGAGUUGAACCUGUGUUUGAUUCCUUCUGUUGUAACCUGUUUCACAUGGAAUCCCCACGAUUAGCUUGUAAAGUAUUGCAGUAAGUUCGUUGAUUUUAGAAUUUUUUUGCUUUUCAUCUAAAAUUUUGGUACAAUAUUCUUUCAAAAGCUAUAAAUCAUAGUUCCGACAUUGUUCUGUACAAUGGUAUUCUUUGAUAUCAGUUGAAAGUGCCGGUGCCAUACAAGAUACAACCAUUUGAAAUAUCUCACACAUUUAGAAGUUGAAGUUUUCUUAGUUGCAUUCACCUAGCUACUAUUUAAAAAUCCUUCAAAAUACUCCCACUUUGUUCAAGAGCUCUAUUUUAUAACACGAGCGGAUGGGUUGGUAUGUUAUGGAUUUAAAUUAGGGACGGAUCCGCGGUGUCAACUUCCUUACACAAUUUUUGACAUGUUUUUGUUAGACACACUUCUUAAUGUAUUUUAACGAUCUGAACCGUCUAUUUUUUAUAAUUCAUAGAUCAUUCUUACAAAAUAUUAGACAAAUUUAAAUCCAUUAAGGCAUUCAUAUGUAGUGGAAAAAAAAAUGGACAAAUACGGUUCUACAAAGAAUACCUAACCUUGAAUCCAACCACGAUAUGAUUUCAAAUUUCGAUGAUUUUUGGUAGAUGUAAUAUUUGAGAGAAGACUUUAAAGAUAGACGGUUUAGAUCGUUGAAAUAAAUUAUGAAGUGGGCCUCAUAAAAACGUGGGUAAAAAGUUGUGUAAAAAUAAUGGUGACAUGAUUUGGUCCCCUUUAAAAUAUAAUAUAAAAAAUAAAGAAUGUGUUAUAAGAUGAGUGGAUUAGCAAAUAUGUAGUGUUUGAUGUGAUGACUAUAGUUGAAAUGUAUUGGAGAAAAGCUUCAGUAAGGUAACAUGAUCAAGCAGCUGGUUAGGUUACUCUCACAAGAAUGAGACUUUGUGCCUCACAGAUUAUGCUUUCAUGGAGAAAAGCUUUAGUAGGGAUUGUAUUUACGACCUCUAUUGAAUUGCUUUCGCGAAAAGCUUUAGUAAGGUAAUCUAACCAUACGGUUGGUCAGGCCACUCUUACAAGAGUGAGAUCUUGUGCUUAGCAGAUUGGACAUGCAUGCAGCCAUACAAUACCUAAACAUAAAGGAGCUUGCUUCCUUGAAAGAAUGACUUGUCAAUUUGUCAAUCACGUGAUCAUACUGUCAUACCAAAGUCUUUCUUACAUAUGAAAUUGCCAAGGUGGGAUCAUCUUAACCUAAAAGCAUGCACGUGUUCACUAUGCUUUAACAGAUCAAGAAUUGAAUAAAUAAAAAACAGCCUCCUCCAUUAGCGUCGCCGUCCACUAACUGAAAGCACACUUUCGAAUUCAAUCAAUCCACACAUUUGGGUUAAAAAAUCUCUUUGAAUCAAUCCAACUUGCUGAAUUUAUAUACCCUAAAGUUGUACGGACACACCCCCCUCCCCUCAACAAAGUGAUUCUUCACCAAGAUGCAUUAUCUGUAUAAAUAAUGACACAUCAUUGUUGCCACUUGAAAACUUUGAAGGGAAAAAAAAAGGAGAUGCCAAGUCAAAGCUGCAACAAGAUUUUUGAUUUGGUACUGGAAGUUGGUCUGUCUUCUCUAAUUUGCUCAUGGGAUUCUGAAUCUCAGUCAGGUUAAAUCUGAACUGUCAUCGAACCAAUCAUCAACUUUUCAACCAUUAUAGUAAAAUAAUAAUAAAUUAUUAUUUAUUUAAUUUUAAUUUUAACUAGCUUUGUCACUGUGUCUUUGAUGAGUCACGAGCCAAUAAAAAAAUAAAUUGGAUUGUUUUUUUUUUUAUAUUCUUUUUCAUUGUAUAGUUGCACAUCAUUUGGCGCUAGGCGACACACAUAGUGACUAACUCAAAAUUUAAAUAAUGAGAAGGAAGAAAAAGGAAGAGAGAAAAUGAUGGAGGAUUUUAGACUUUACUAGUGAUCCCCUCGUCGUCCUUAUCCCAAAGUGUAUGUAGUAGUAGUAGAUAAGCAAGUAGUAUAAAUAUUAACACGAAAAAAGCUACAGAUAUGCCCCCACCCCCUAUUUAUGGCUUUUACAAUGUGAUAGAUGGUGGAGUGCCAAAAGAUUCCACCUUCCCCAUGAAGGUUCAACUAAAGAGUAUCCUCCUUUUUUUUCUUGUACACAAGUGUUUAAGGUAGACAAUGUUUUGUGUUGAACAACUGUAUAUGAAUACUGUCACAUUAUAUCACUGAUUCUCUUUCAAACAUGGGUAGAGAAAAAAAGGAGGAGAGAGCAUGAACUAGAAAAGAGGGAGAGAUGGCGAGGAAGCGUUUAAAAAUGUGACGAAGAAAUAGAAGGUGUGAAUGUGCGUAAGAGGAGAGAUUCUCUCAAGCAUCGAUUGGCAAGAGAAGAACCCUGCGAUGCCAUUACUAUGCUUCAAACUAAAAUGGACACCUAUAGCUAUGUGUAUUAAAGGGACCCACAAGGGCACCCACCGACCCUACAUUGACACGUCCCAAUCCCGAUAUUCCCUGAAUACCAAGAUAGGCACGUGCUAGGUAGAUAUGAGAAUAUACAUAUAAGGCUUACAGGAUCCACUCCCCUGGGUGACGUGGGGUCUUACAAUCCACCUCCCUUAGGGGCCCGACGUCCUCUUCGACACACAUCCGGCCAGGGAUUGGCUCUGAUACCAAUUUGACACGCCCCAAUCCCGAUAUUCCCUGAAUACCAAUCUGAUGCUCCCUGAUCCCGAUAUUCCUUGAAUACCAGGAUAGGCACGUGCUGGCCGACAACUGAGGGUGACGAAAGCCAUUUAUUGAAUGCAAAUGUUGAAAACAAUGGAUGGAUUAGACUUAUAAAUAUAAACGAAUAAUGAAUAUGCAUUUAAGGAACGUGUUCAGAACAUACAACUAACUAAUGAAACAAAGGAUGGAUCCUACACCGAGAGGACUCGAAGACGCCGAUGCGGAGGUUCUUGGAUGCCAGGAUUUUAGGCCUCGAUUCUAAGUCUUGAAGGGGGCGCAAAACAAACAUGAGUGGACCCCUUCUAAAAAUGCAUGUUUUGAUAGUAGAAAUGCAUACAUGAAAAGCAUGAUUUGAUGAUUAUGUUCUAUGAAACGCUUUGAGAUAACAUGCUUACUGAGCAUAGAUUGAAUUACUACUAUUUUUCCUAUAACCCGUGUUCUUACAGAAUAUCUGAUGGAUGAUGAUAUGAUAUUUAGAACAUGUUUAGAACACCUCUUUAUAGUAUAGAUGAUGGAUGACUUUAUACUAUGAAGUUGCUUUUCAAUAAAUGUAUGUUCAAUGAUUUUGUACUUAUCUAGUGGUCCUUAUUCCGCUACGAGACGUAGGGAUAGAUUCUUGUCCGUCCCGGGCGACGAUUUGGUGUUGGCAUAGGGCCUGGAGUGUGUUUCCUCUGGCAAUUAGCACAGGGACGGGGAGUUGGCAUCAUGGGGCCUGGAGUGUAUUUUCCUCUGACUGUUUGCUCAGAGAUGGGGAGCCGGCAUGGGGCCUGGGGGUUAUCAGACAUUAAUGAGUGAUUAUUAUAUAUACAAGUUAUGAUUUGAGACAUUGCACGACAUGCUAGGUUUCAGAAAACCUAUGUUUAUCAUGAUAUAUAUGUGUUUUCAUAAAACAUGGGGGUUAGUACGUUUAUAACUGUUUUAGUAUAUAUAUGAUACCAAAUUGUCACAUCUCGGCCUGGGCCCCCACCACAUCUCGGGCUCAACUUCGCCGUAGCACGAUAUUGUCCGCUUUGGGCCCCGACCACGCCCUCACAAUUUUGUUUCUGGGAACUCACACGAGAACUUCCCAAUGGGUCACCCAUCAUGGGAUUGCUCUCACGCGAACUUGCUUAACUUCGAAGUUCCGAUGGAACCCAAAGCCAGUGAGCUCUCAAAAUGCAUCGUGCUAGGUAAAAAUGAGAAUAUACAUAUAAGGUUUACACGAUCCACUCCCCUGGACGGUGUGGGAUCUUACACACAUGGCCUAACACCAACUGAUUCCCAAAACCAAAUUAGCCUUUAAUCUCAAAUUUCUUCAUUGCUAUUGCAUCAUAAUUAGCCUUUAAUCUCAAAUUUCUUCAUUGCUAUUGCAUCAUUUGGAAAGAAAUCUCUAUCCUCCAUUCAAUCUCUUUUUUUUUCUUCUCAUUUUCUAUUAGGGUUCUUCAACAACUAUGAGUUUGUAUUGGUAUUGGGUCUAUGGAUUAACAAUUCUGAGUUGGUAUUGGUAUAGGGUCUACGAAUCCAUACAAGAUUUUGUGCGAUACGAACGUGGGAUGGAAAUUAGGUUUCUGAAAUUAUUGUACGUACUUACGUUAAAAAAGUUUAAGAUAACAAUUUUAAUACAUCAUCAAUGCGUUAUAAGCACGUAGAUAUUGUUAACGGUAACUACAUGUCAUUUCAUUAUUGAUGUAAUACAAGCACUCAACUGGAGCAAAAUCAUAACUCAUGCAACAUUUUCCAACUAGCACUUCAAUUAAAUUUCUAUAAAUGUACAUAUGUAUGUUGUGUAUAUUGAGUAGCAUUCCAUGUUAGGACACAUAAUAUAUUACUCAAACAUAAAUGUCUGGAUAUACAGGCACCGUCGCAUUUGCAAUAGUCCACUCUGCGUGUUAUUUACCGAAGGGGAGUUUAAUAUGUACAUUAUCCGAGGUGUGUUCUUCUUCUUUUUCGUCUGUUUACGUUCCCAACUAUUUGGAGCUAGCCCUUCCAUAUAUACCGGUUUUACUUCAACAUUUUAUCAUGUCUGUUAGCCCCCACCCUUCACUUUUUGAUAGAUCUCAAAUCUUCUUUAUUCUUGUGCCCUAGCUAGACAUGUGCCGAGGAACAAUGGUAGGGAUCACAUAAUUUAGUCACCAACUAGAAAGUUCUCACUACAUUAUCCUCUGGUUCAUUCUUCUUUCAGAUUAUCUAGUGAUAUAACUCUAAUCAAGGCCCUUGAUCCUUUUAACGACGUAUGCAUCAUUCGUUCUUAGAAAUGCUCGAAUGUUGUAUAAAAAUCUCUUUGUGAAGAUUUCAGAUGGGAAUAUAUAUUAACAAAUUUGAGGUUUUGGGAUCCCAGCAUUUCAUUCAGUUACCAAAGUUUUUAGGGUUUUUGAGAUGUUGAGCAAAGGACUAAGAAUGCUGCUGCCAUGCCAGUUAACGGGAAAAUGGACAGCUAAAAUAACCAGGCAGACAAUCAUUCAACGGAGUAUAUAUACAUAUAUGUGUGUACUAUAUAUACCGUGAAAUUGUUUUUUUUUUUUGGAAAGAAUCAGACACGAGAGGGACCUUUUUCAUCCAACCACGUACCAAGAUUAUAUCCUCUACCCUGAUCAUUUACCUUUUAUAGCUUUUGGACAUCAAAGAUUCCAGUUCAGAUAAGUAUAAAGUACAAGCUUAUGAGAAAAUAGAACAAAAUAAUAUAGCAAUUGUGGGGUGUCAAGUAGUCAAUGAUUCAUUUAUUAAUAAGAAGAAGAAAAAAUCCUGCAUUCAUGAAAAAUACAAGCAAAUAUUCAUAAUGAUCAGAGGGAAAAAAAAAAAAAGGAAACACAAAAUUUCUAUUUUUGGCUGCUCAGCCUGCUAGAGGAGCUAACAUAUUCCUUUAUUUAUUUCAGUAGUUCCUCCAUUAAUUAAUUUCUUGGAAACUAAGCCAAGAAUCAGGAGAAAAGGUGGUCAUUCAUCCAAAGGAAAGAAAAAGGAAAGAAAAAAGGUCAAGGAAUAUAAGGAUGAUAUAUAUAACUAUUAUAUAUAUAUAUAUAUAUAUCAUAUGUGAUAAGCCAAGAAUAUCAGACUUGCCUGAGUUUACAUUUCCUCAAGUUCAUCACCUUUCUUCACUGCUGUAAAUUAGGUCAUGGCUGAAAGAUGAUGAAAACCCUAAAUCUUCCUCCUCCCCCUCCUCCUCCGGCCCAACUUUUCGACAUCGAAGACUGAUAGUCUCGUCUUGAUGACAUUCUUCUCAGCUUUUGAAGCACCAUCGCCAUCUUUCCUUGGACAAAUUCAGUGACACCAAAAGAAAGAAAUUGAACGCCGAUAGAGAUUGAUCCUGUGAAUUCCUUCGAAAACUGGUAACUUCUUAGGUAGAAAUUAGAAUAAAGUUGUAGAGAGAGAGAGAGAGAGAAAGAAGAGAGGUCAUAGAAUUUGGGGGUGGUUGGUCAUGCUUAUUUAAUGAGACGGAUGGAACAAAGGUGAAAAUGAAAUAAUUUAGGCCACGUACGUACAUGGGGAGGACCUACUUCACAUGUCCUCUAUGUGUUUAAUUUACUGGUUAAAGGAAUAUCCAUUCAGUAAAAAGGACCCCUACCUUAUAAUUUAAAGUUGGAAUCUGAGGUGACCUAUCCAAUUUGGAUUUACAUACCAAACAUUAAUAAAAACAAAACAAAAACAAUAUCCAUUUUGAGCUUAUAGUUGGCCAAAACCUACCUAUAUAUUUGACAACCUUAAGCUGGCCUCUAUGGGUUUUAUAAUAAUAAUAAUAAUAAUAAUAAUAACACAAGAUAGUUCUUGGUUAUUUCCAUAUAACUGUGACAUUAUAUAUAAGAAUUGGCGGCAUUAGUUUAGUUGCUUAUAUAGUUGUUCUUGAGGUUCUUGUAAGUUUUUUACUUCGAUUUUGCCUUGUGACGUAUCAAUAAUCUUCAACUCUUCAAUAUUUUUGAAAUGAUUAGUUUUUUAAUACAUUGUUUAUAUUUGAUCGCUGCAUCCUCACUAUUUGAUAUUGUCGAUUUUUAAUUUUGAUCAAUCUGAUAUUUAAUAUUUAAUUUUUGAUCAUUUUAGCAAAUUCUCAUUAAAUCUCUUUUGGUUAUGUUAACUUCAUCAUUUUCAAGAUGUUUUUUAUGAAAGAAAUAUAGGCAUUUCUGACACACCCCGUCCCGAAGGAGGGCAUGCUGGCCGUCACGUGAGACGUGACGGCCAGCAUGCCCUCCUUCGGGACGGGGUGUGUCAAUUUCGGAUGAUUUCAAUUGUCAAAUGUUUAUAGACGUGAAGUCUAUUGAUUUGAUAGAAAGACUAGUUCUCAGUUGAAAAUUCAGAGAACCAUUUUCGUUCAACAACCUAAUAAGAGUUUUAAGGCAUUUGAUAAAAAAAAAAAAUUACUUAAAGAAGAUUUUAUUCUAAACUAGCAUAUAUAAUUGGUAAAAAUGAAGAUUAUUUUUUUUUCCAAGGUAAAACUGAAGAUUAGAACACACUAUUUUUACCAAUUGACUUAACUACUUGUGCAUGCAUUCGAGAACUUCAGUAAUUUAAAAAUAUUAAAGAGGACUUUCUUUUGGAAAUAUCCAUUUCAAACUCAUUUUGUUCGAUUUUAUUUUGAAGGCAAUUAAUCAUAAACCUUAUUUUAAUUCCUAACUCACAGCCUCGAUUUUCUCAUUACUUCGAGCCAAAUUUUCUCACUUGAACUAGCCCUGACGACUUAAUACCCUCCAUCCUUAUCCUUAAUGGAGGUAAAUACCAUUAAUUUGUAAGGACUCGUAAGUGGGAAGGGUUACUGUAAACAUGUGGUUUGAAUAAUAAUCCGGAUUAAGGACAAGAGUUAACAAGGUCAAGGGUGUUGGAUUUGUUCAGAUUAAUUAAUGGAUGUUUCAAUUAUAGUGGGUGACUUUUAAUUAUUCAACCUAAUUUUGGGUCGGGGACCAAAUGCUAAUCUAAUCAACCCUACAUGCAUAAAAUAUAAAGAAAAUUAAUGAAAAUAGUUUGAAAAUUUUGAGUUUUAACAAUAAAAAUAGGGGUGUGAUAUCCACACAUCCCAUUUUACUUCUCACACACCCUUUUAAUUUUCGGCCGUCGGAUCGGAUGAAUGGAAGAAGAUCAACGGACAAAAAUUAACAAGGGUGUGUGAGAAGUAAUUUGGGGUGUGUAGAUAGCACACCCCUAAAAAUAAAAUAAAAGAUAAAAUGAAUAAUAUCAAAAUUGAUAUUUUAAUGUAUAAAUGUGAUUUUUCGUUAAAAUGAACAAUACUAUAAUUUUUUUUGUUAAAGUUACUUAAAAUUUAAUCAAGACCCAGUGUACAGCAGUAAUGCAAUUGAAAAACCUGACGGACCAAUCCGAUUCCGAAACAUGUCGAAACAAACAGAGGUUAUAAGUGCUUCAGAAUUCAUAACCUAAAAGCUACAACCCCACUGAAAAGUUUGUUUUAUUUAAAAAAACAUAUAAUGAUUUUAUGAAAUCUUCAGUACGAAGCACAUCAGUAAUAGUGACGAUGAAGGUUUAAUGCCAAUGAGUUUUUAAAUAAUAAUAUCGUACAACUGGACGAACUAACCCCACCAUAUCUCAUGAUCACUACCAAACUAGAUUUCUACCUUGACGCCUUUCGAAAAUGAAAAAGGAAAAAGAAAAUUGAAAUUUUAGGAAGCCAAAUUCUUUUAAAUUUAGAAUACUUUUAUUCACAUAUUUAUUUUUUUUAGUAUUUUUUUUAAUUUUUGAUUGAGAGAUGAAAGAUGAAACCUGCAAUAUUGAUUCAUCGGAACGAAUGAAUUGAAGAAGACUAAUAAUAAAAAAUUAACAAGAAUGAGUGAAAGUAAAAAUAGAUAUGUGAAUAACACUAUCUUAAAUUUAAUGCAUAACUUGUUAGAGUAUAAUCAAGGGUAGAUAUAGUGCCACUUGUUAGCUCAAGAUAGGAGUAAUUAGUUAGGAUUAUUGGAGAGGCAGCUGUGAUGUAUGGCUUCUCUAUAAAUACUAGUGUGAUGUAAUAGCUUCAGUAAAAAGAAAUAAAAAUACAUUUACUGAAAUCUCUCUCUCUAAGUUCUGUCUGUCUCUCUCUCUAAAUUCCUUCGUUUUCUUGGUUAAUGGCUAAUGCUUAACAUGGUAUCAAUUGCCGGAAUUGCUUGCGCAUCUUCGAUCCUCUAGUUGCUUCCCUUUUUGAAGCUUUGUAUAGUAAACUCCCCAUCAUUUCACAUCUUAAGAUCUUUGGCUGUUCAUGUUUUCCAUUUCUCAGCCCUUAUAAUGCAUCUAAAUUACAACCCAAGACCAUCAAGUGUGUCUUCCUUGGUUAUGCUUCCCAGUACAAGGGUUAUAUUUGUUUUGAUGUCUCACGAAACAAGUACAUACAUAUCCAGGCAUGUGGUGUUCAAUGAGUUAGAGUUUCCAUACAAAGUCUUGCUGUCUCAGAAGCAUCAGUCUUCUCUACCAAGUCUUCUAGCACUAUUUCACAUUCAUCAUUAAUUCCCACACUAGAUAACAUUUUGGUUUCCUCCUCAUCUAAAUGCCCUCUUUCAAAUCAUACCCACACUGUUUCUGCAACCCAUGAGUCAGUGCCACUAGCAUCCAUUUCUCCUGCAGGGUCUCAGCCUCAAUUACCAUCACAGUCCAUUACUGCUGGUCACAAUGUUUCCUCCACGCUCCCUGUGGAUUCUAUACAUAGUCCUGUUGAUUCUAUAGGCUCAACAUUUAGUCAUGAGCACUUGCCAGUGGUCCUGCCUAUUGCUCCCAUUAACUUGCAUCCUAUGCAAACUAGGAGCAAAAGUGGUAUUGUCAAAAGAAAGGCAUUACUUGCUACCUUGGAGGAAUCCAGUGAAGUGGAUCUAUCUGUUAUUGAACCCACAUCCUAUAAGAAUGCUCUUAAGGUUCCAGUUUGGUACAAGGCUAUGCAGGAGGAAAUCCAUGCACUUCACUCUCAAGGCACUUGGUCAUUGGUUUCCUUACCAUCUCAGAAGAAUCUUGUAAGCUGUAAGUGGGUGUUCAAACUCAAAAGGAAUGAUGAUGGGUCAAUUGGUCGACAUAAGGCUCGUUUGGUUGCAAAAGGAUUUAGCCAAGAACCUGGUUUAGAUUUUGAGGAGACCUUCAGUCCUGUGGUCAAACCAACUACAGUCAGGUUAGUUUUAUCCCUUGCUGCUUACUUUGGCUGGUCUCUUAGGCAAUUAGAUGUGAAGAACGCGUUCCUGCAUGGUUUUUUGCAAGAGGAGGUCUAUAUGUCACAACCUCCGGGGUUUGAAGAUUCUAGCCAUCCACAUCUUGUUUGUAAGCUUCACAAGUCUCUUUAUGGCUUGAAACAAACUCCUCGAGUAUGGAAUGAACGGUUCACUGCAUUCAUUCCAACAAUUGGGUUCAAAACAACAUAUUCAGAUUCUUCUCUGUUCAUAAACACCAUUGGUAGUGAUGUUGUGAUUCUAUUACUAUACGUUGAUGACAUUAUCAUUACUGGAAGCUCUAUCACUGUUAUCCAACAGGUUAUCCGAUCACUUACUUCUGAGUUUGAUCUUAAGGAUCUUGGGGAGUUACAUUAUUUUCUUGGCAUCCAAAUCACUAGAAUAGAUUCUGGAUUGUUUCUCUCCCAGUCUAAAUAUAUUCAGGACCUGCUGCAGAAGACAGAAAUGCUCGAGGCCAAGCCUUGUGAUACUCCUUGCUUACCCUAUAACAUGCUUUUGAAAGAUGAUGGCCUUCCGUAUAACAAUCCCACUGCCUAUAGAAGUAUUGUCGGUGCCUUACAAUAUCUUACAUUUACUCGUCCAGAUAUCUCAUUCUCUGUACACCAAGUCUGUCAGUUUAUGCAAAAUCCUAUGGUGUCUCACUUUACUGCCGUAAAGAGAAUACUACGAUAUUUGAAAGACACAAUGCAGCUUGGUCUUACUUACUCCAAGAGUGACUUGACAAUACGAGCUUUUAGUGAUGCGGAUUGGGCAGGUGAUCCGAAUGAUCGCAGGUCAACCACUGGAUUGGUAGUGUUUCUGGGUUCAAAUCCUGUUUCCUGGUCUUCCAAGAAACAGCAAACUGUUUCUCGGUCCUCCACAGAGGCUGAGUAUCGGGCUAUGUCUACUACCUCUGCUGAGAUUGAUUGGAUCUUACAAAUCCUUGCGUUUCUGCAGGUUUAAAUAUCUUCUCCACCUGUCCUUUUUUGUGACAACUUGUCGGCUAUAGCGUUGUCAUUUAACCCUGUUGAGCAUCAAAGGACAAAACAUUUUGAGGUGGAUGUUCAUUUUGUAAGGGAGCGGAUUGCCAAGAAGCAGCUUGACGUUCAGUUUGUGUUAUCUCGAGAACAGUUUGCAGAUAUUUUCACUAAAGGUCUUAGUGCACCCCUAUUUCACACUCAUUGUAACAAUCUCAUGCUUGGUUCAUCCAAACAUGAGAUUGCGGGGGGAUGUUAGAGUAUAAUCAAGGGUAGAUAUAGUGCCACUUGUCAGCUCAAGAUAGGAGUAAUUAGUUAGGAUUAUUGGAGAGGCAGUUGUGAUGUAUGGCUUCUCUAUAAAUACUAGUGUGAUGUAAUAGCUUCAGUAAGAAGAAAUAGAAAUACAUUUACUGAAAUCUCUCUCUCUAAGUUCUGUCUCUCUCUCUCUAAAUUCCUUCGUUUUCUUGGUUAAUGGCUAAUGCUUAACAUAACUAAGCAUGAUAUGUGAAAAGGUAGGAAUUUUUUAGUUAAAGAAAAGGGAAAGUUUCUACUGGGGUUUGCUCAAUAGUCAGUAGUGAGGAAUGGAGUAAAGGAUGAUAGGUAAGAAUAUUUCAGAUCGGAAGUUCCAAAUCUCUAAUGUAACCAAAGAAAAAUGUAAGCUUCUAUUUUUGAAAGUGUCGGUGUUAUAAACUACCAGUAUAUUCGGGAAGGAGAUUGAGCACACAACGAUUGGUUAAUGGUAUCCACUUUUCACUUAUAAGAGGUUUUAGAAUCGACUCACAUAAAUAUGAGAACAAUAUAUAUUUGUAGUGAGUUCAAUCAAAGAUGAAGUCAAGAAUUUAUAUACGUGUUGGCUAAUAGAUUCUCUGUAUUGGAGCAAGGAGUGUAAAUUAAAUCUAGGUGGGGAAAAAAUAUUGUAUUUCACAAAUUUAUGCUCAAUAUUAGUAGUAAUUUCCAUCUUUUUUCAAGAAUUGCACUAGGUAAUUGCCCAUGAGAGCCUAUAACUAGUUUUGUCCUUUUUUUAUAUUUAAGGUAACAAGCUCCGUCCUUGAGUUCAAUACUAAAUUGUGAUUUAUUGUUGUGUAUCAUUGUAGUUUGUCAUAUCUUAUCAUUCAUCAAAAGAAGAAAGAGAUCAAAUCAGAUGUAAGGACGGAUACACUUCCAUAAUCAAUUGUCCAAUCUUGGCUUUGAAAGCCUUAUAUUCAAUUGUCCAAAACAUACACAAAUGACAAAAUGCUGGGCAAAUGGAAAAAUUAUUGUACAAAUGCAUGUGCAAAGUAGUGGUCAGCCUGUUCUCUCAUUUAUCCAUUUGUUUACCAUACUUUUCGUGUAUGCCAUUUUAAGUGCAUGUACGUUAUAUGCACUGUAUAAACACAUGAAUCAUGUGUUGGACUUAUAGAAUUAUUAGAGAGUUUUGUUUCAUAGUAGACAUUGAUGUUGGACUUGUUCUGACUCCACAACUUGCCCAAACACAUGAAUCAUGGCUAGCUUUUUUUUUUUUUUAAAGUACUUUAGACAAUUAUAAGGGCUGUAUGGUAUAAGGGAUUGGAUUGAAAUAGAUAAAUCACUACUUUAAAUUAAUGAUGAAGGAAAUAAUUGAAAAUUUGUGAUCAACUCGAAAGUAGGAGAUUAAUUUCUAAAUCAACUAGCGUGUAUCAUGAAAAUGUUUUGUAAAAGGAGCACUUAAGUGCUUUUAAAUAACUACAAGCGCUUCCGCCAAGGGUUGUGUUUCUGAACUAGAAAAUCAUCUAGACAUGCUUAAUUUGUAAAAGAAGUGUUUGUUUCAAAGAACACUUGAAUUUUUAUUCAAAUUUUCAACGUGAUCUAAUAGAAACUUUUCCAAUAAAGCGUUUACGAGCAAAAAUGUUGUCAAGAUAAACAUUUUCAAAACGACCCUUAAGAUUCUAAAUCCAAAGUGCAUAUCAUGGAUGUCAAAUUGGCAUAUUUCCAAUUUGAAGCGUUGUAUAAAUUUCUUUACGUGUGAUGCAAGCAAUCAAGCAAAGCAUGCAGUUGGAUAAUGCAUACACAUAAAAAUGAAUAAACGAUGUAAAGUUUACGAAUGUUAAGAAGGAAAGUAGACCUGAUGAAAAGGCCGACAUUAUGAGAUCACCACACCAACAGUAUGAAAGAACAUGAACAUUUGCAUUCAAGAUUUCACUCUUGACAAUUUUCUGGAAGAAAUGAAUACAACCAUCAUGAAGAAUGAGACGUUCACCAGCUCUUUUUAUAUCUUCGAGAUUAAGACCCUUGAAUACUCCACACUUCGCGACUCUAUUGUUUGCUUUCCUCUCAAAACCCGAAGGUUUCUCUACUGCUUUAUGCAAAUUUUCAUGCUUAGCGGAUUGUAACUACGUGGAGCCAUAUAGUACUUAAACAUAGAGGAGCUUGCUGCUUUGAGAGAGUGGUUUGUCAACCAUGUGAUUAGAUUGUCCUACUAAUGUUUUUUUCUCAUAUAGAAUCGCCAAGGUGAGAUCAUCUUAAUCUAAAACCGUGCUUGUUGUUCACCAUGUUCACUAUGCUUUAACAGUUCAAGAAAUGAAUGUAUAAAAACAGCCUCCUCCAUUAGCGUCGCCUUCCACUGAUUGAAAGCACACUUUUUGAAUUCAAUCAAUCCAUAUAUUUGGAUUCUCUUUGAACUAAUCCAACUGGCUGAAUUGAAUAAACCCCUAAAGUUGUACGGACACCCCAACAAAGUGUACCUUCACCAAGAUGCAAUAUUUAUAAAUAAUGAUACAUGCCACUUGAACACUUUGAAGGUAAAUGCCAAGUCAAAGCUACAACAAGAUUUUUGAUUUGGUGCUGGAAGUUGGUCUGUCUUCUCUAAUUUGCUCAUGGGAUUCUGAAUCUCAACAGGUUAAAAAUGAACUGUCAUUGAACUAAUCAUCAACUUUUUCAAUUCUUAUUAAUUAUUAAUUUCUUAUUUUUAAUUAGCUUUGUCGCUGAGUCUUUGAUAAGUCACGGACCAAUAGAAAAAUUAAAUUGGAUUGUCUUUUUAUUCUUCUUCUUCUUUUUAUAUAGUUGCACGUCAUUUGGCACACACAUGGUGACUUACUCAAAAUUUAAAUAAUUAAAAGGAAAAAAAGAAGAGAAAAAAUGAGGGAGGGUUUAGACUUUGCUAGCGAUCGCCUCGUCGUCCUUAUCCCAGAAUGUGUUAUGGCUUUUACAAUGUGAAAGAUGUUGGAGUACCAAAAAUUUCUAUCUUCCCCAUGAAAGUUCAAUUUAAGAGUUUCUUUUUUUCUUUCUAUACAUGAGUGUUUGAUAUGUAGAGAACAAUUUAUGUUGAACACACAUGGUGAGUCAUUUUGCCAUGCCAUUACUAUGCUCCAAACUAAAAUGACUAGCUAUAGCUAUGUGUACUAAAGGGACCCAAAAGGGCACCCACCGUCCUCACAUGCCUAAAACGACCUGAUUCCUAAAACCAGAUUAGCCUUCACUCUCAAAUUUGCAUCAUUUGGAAAGAAAUCUCUAUCCUCCAAUUAAUCCCUUUUUUUUCAUUUUCUUUUAGGAUUCUUCAACAAUUGUGAGUUUGUAUUGGUAUUGGGUCUAUGGAUUAACAUUUCUUAGUUUUUAUUGGUAUAAGAUCUACGAAUCAUAUAAGUUUUUGGCAUUUUGCUCGUAUACAGAGCGAUAAGAAUUUGUGUUAUUGUUUCUUUGAAUAGAAUUAGGUUUUUAAAAUCACUAUGCGUACUUAUCUUUAAAAAGUAUAAGAUAACAGUUUUAUUACAUCAUAUAUGCGUUAUAUGUAGAUAAGUAUCGCUAACGAUAACUAAGUGUCAUUUUAUUAUUGAUGUAGUAAAAACCCUCACCUAGAGCAAGGUCAUGACUCAUGCAACAUUUUCCAUGUAGCACUUCAAUUAAAUUCCUAUAAAAUGUAGACAUUUGGCAUAUUGACAACCAUUCCAUGUUAGGACACAUUAUGUACUACUCAAACAUAAACCUCUGGAUAUACAGGCACCGUCACGUUUGCAGUAGUCCACUUUGCGUGUUAUUUACUGAAGUGGAGUUUAAUAUAUACAUUAUCCGAGGUGUUUUCUUCUUCUUUUUCCUCUGUUUACUUUCCCAACUAUUUGGAGCUAGCCCUUCCAUAUAUACCAGUUAUACUUCAACAUUUUAUCAUGUCUGCUAGCCCCCACCCUUCACUUUUUGAUAGAUCUCAAAUCUUCUUUAUUCUUGUGCCCUAGCUAGACAUGUGCGGAGGAACAAUGGUAGGGAUCACAUAAUUUAGUCACUAACUAGAAAGUUCUCACUACAUUAUCUUCUGGUUCAGUCUUCUUUCACAUUAUCUAGUGAUAUAACUCUAAUCAAGGCCCUUGAUCCUUUUAAAGAUGUAUGCAUUGUUAGUUCUCAGAAAUGCUCGAAUGUUGUAUAAAAAACAUUUUAUGAAGAUUUCAGAUGGGGAUAUUAAUUACAAAUUUGAGAUUUUGGGAUCCUAGGCUACCAGCAUUUCAUUCAUUUACCAAAGUUUUGGGGUUUUUGAGACGUUGAACAAGAGAUCAAGAAUGCUGCUGCCAUGCCUGUUAACUGGAAGAUGGACUGGUAAAAAAACCACGCAGACAAUCAUUCAACGGCGUAUAUAUACAUAUGUAUAGCGUGAAAUUAUUUUUAGGAAAGAAUCAGACACGAGAGGGAGCUUUUUCAUCCAACCACGCACUAAGAUUCUAUCCUAUACCCUAACCAUUUACCUAGAAAUUAUAGCUUUGGAUUCCAGUUUAGAUAAGUAUAUAGUACAAGCUUACGAGAAAAUAGAACAAAAUUAUAUAUAUAUAUAUAUAUAUAUAUAUAUAUAUAUAUAGCAAUUGUGGGUGUCAAGCAAUCAAUUAUUCAUUUAUCAAUAAGAAGAAGAAGAAAAAUCUUACAGUCAUGGAAAAUACAAGCAAAUCUUUUAGCAAAUGCAUAAAGAUUAGAGACAAACAAAGGGAAACACAAAAUUAUAUCCAUUUUUGGCUGCUCAGCCUGCUAGAACAUAUUCCUUAAUUUAUUUCAGCAAUUCCUCCAUUAAUUAAUUUCUUGAUAACUAAGCCAAGAAUCAGGAGAAAAGGUGGUCUUUCUUCCAAUGGAAAGAAAAAGAUCAAGGAAUAUUAAGGAUGAUAUAUAUAACUAUUUUUUAUAUAUCAUAUGUGAUAAGCCAAGAAUAUCAGACUUGCCUGAGUUUACAUUCCUCAAUUUCAUCACCUUUCUUUACUGCUGUAAAUUAGGUCAUGGCUGAAAGAUGAUGAAAACCCUAAAUCCUCCUCCUCAUCCUCCUCCUCCGGCCCAACUUUUCGACAUCAAAGACUGAUAAUCUCCUCUUGAUGACCUUCUUGUUAGCUUUUGAAGCACCAUAGCCAUUGUUCCUUGGACAAAUUCAGUGACACCAAAUGAAAGAAAUUGAACGACAAUAGAGAUUGAUCCUAUGAAUCCUUCAGAAACUGGUCACUUGUUAGGCAGAAAUUAGAAUUAAGUUGGAGAGAGAGAGAGAGAGAGAGAGAGAGAAAUAGGAAGAAGAGGAGAGAGAGAGAGGAGAGGCCACAGAAUUUGGGGUGG